RNAcentral lists this transfer RNA (64 nucleotides) under Phyllobrotica quadrimaculata. RNAcentral describes it as "tRNA-Trp". Lineage: Eukaryota; Metazoa; Arthropoda; Insecta; Coleoptera; Chrysomelidae. The record is from RNAcentral.
AAGGAUUUAAGUUAAGUUAAACUCUUAACCUUCAAAGUUAAUAAUAGAAGUUUUCUAAGCCUUA